This 440-nucleotide ribosomal RNA is filed under the name uncultured bacterium. RNAcentral's name for it is "partial 16S ribosomal RNA". It matches the Rfam family "Bacterial small subunit ribosomal RNA", at positions 338 to 795 of the family's 1533-position model. The record is from RNAcentral.
CCUACGUGAGGCAGCAGUGGGGAAUAUUGCACAAUGGGCGAAAGCCUGAUGCAGCGACGCCGCGUGAAGGAUGAAGUACUUCGGUAUGUAAACUUCUAUCAGCAGGGAAGAAAAUGACGGUACCUGACUAAGAAGCACUGGCUAACUACGUCCCAGCAGCCGCGGUCAUACGCAGGGGGCAAGCGUUAGGCGGAAUUAAUGGGUGUAAAGGGAGCGUAGGUGGUUUAGCAAGUCACAAGGGAAAGCCCUGGGCUCAACGCCGGGACUGCUUUUGAAACUGAUGAACUAGAGUGCGGGAGAGGUAAGUGGAAUUCCUGGUGUAGCGGUGAAAUGCGUAGAUAUUAGGAGGAACACCAGUGGCGAAGGCGGCUUACUGGACUGUAAAUGACGCUGAGGCGCGAAAGCGUGGGUAGCAAACAGGAUUAGAUACCCUAGUAGUC